This 490-nucleotide ribosomal RNA is filed under the name uncultured bacterium. Its description in RNAcentral is "partial 16S ribosomal RNA". It matches the Rfam family "Bacterial small subunit ribosomal RNA", at positions 30 to 507 of the family's 1533-position model. The record is from RNAcentral.
AUUGAACGCUGGCGGCAGGCCUAACACAUGCAAGUCGAACGGUAACAGAAAGCAGCUUGCUGCUUUGCUGACGAGUGGCGGACGAGUGAGUAAUGUCUGGGAAACUGCCUGAUGGAGGGGGAUAACUACUGGAAACGGUAGCUAAUACCGCAUAACGUCGCAAGACCAAAGAGGGGGACCUUCGGGCCUCUUGCCAUCGGAUGUGCCCAGAUGGGAUUAGCUAGUAGGUGGGGUAACGGCUCACCUAGGCGACGAUCCCUAGCUGGUCUGAGAGGAUGACCAGCCACACUGGAACUGAGACACGGUCCAGACUCCUACGGGAGGCAGCAGUGGGGAAUAUUGCACAAUGGGCGCAAGCCUGAUGCAGCCAUGCCGCGUGUAUGAAGAAGGCCUUCGGGUUGUAAAGUACUUUCAGCGGGGAGGAAGGGAGUAAAGUUAAUACCUUUGCUCAUUGACGUUACCCGCAGAAGAAGCACCGGCUAACUCCGUG